This 331-nucleotide ribosomal RNA is filed under the name uncultured bacterium. RNAcentral's name for it is "bacterial SSU rRNA". It matches the Rfam family "Bacterial small subunit ribosomal RNA", at positions 568 to 898 of the family's 1533-position model. The record is from RNAcentral.
CGCGUAGGCGGCUUGUCAAGUCCGGGGUGAAAGCCUCCAGCUUAACUGGAGAAGUGCCUUGGAUACUGACGAGCUCGAGCGAGGUAGGGGCAGAUGGAACUUCCGGUGGAGCGGUGAAAUGCGUUGAUAUCGGAAGGAACGCCGGUGGCGAAAGCGAUCUGCUGGACCUCUUCUGACGCUGAGGCGCGAAAGCCAGGGGAGAGAACGGGAUUAGAUACCCCGGUAUUCCUGGCCCUAAACGUUGGGUACUAGAUAGUGGACUUCACAUGGGUUCACUGUCGAAGCAAAAGUGAUAAGUACCCCGCCUGGGGAGUAUGGUCGCAAGGCUGAA